This 253-nucleotide ribosomal RNA is filed under the name uncultured bacterium. RNAcentral describes it as "partial 16S ribosomal RNA". It matches the Rfam family "Bacterial small subunit ribosomal RNA", at positions 524 to 776 of the family's 1533-position model. The record is from RNAcentral.
GACAGAGGGUGCAAACGUUGUUCGGAAUUACUGGGCGUAAAGCGCGUGUAGGCGGCCAUGCAAGUCGGAUGUGAAAGCCCUCGGCUCAACCGGGGAAGUGCACUCGAAACUGCAAGGCUAGAGUCUCGGAGAGGAUCGUGGAAUUCUCGGUGUAGAGGUGAAAUUCGUAGAUAUCGAGAGGAACACCGGUGGCGAAGGCGGCUAUCUGGACGGUGACUGACGCUGAGACGCGAAAGCGUGGGGAGCAAACAGG